RNAcentral lists this transfer RNA (96 nucleotides) under Nocardioides psychrotolerans. Its description in RNAcentral is "tRNA-Val". The record is from RNAcentral. Lineage: Bacteria; Bacillati; Actinomycetota; Actinomycetes; Propionibacteriales; Nocardioidaceae.
GCAACAGUACGGCACGGCUCACCGCCGAGUACGGUUACGUCGUGCACGUCGUGAUCAUGGGUUGUGGCCGGGUCGGUUCGACCCUCGCCCGCAGCC